GGCGGGCAAAUCACAAAAUCAAAGAUAGAUUAAAAGCCCAAUCAAGCAAUCAUCCCUUUCAAAUACAAGAACUACACCGACCAAUAAUCCCAGAAAAAGAAAAGGAAUAAAAUUCGCACAAAUCCAUUACUCAUCAAGCAAUUUCACUUUCACUUCAAGAACACAACAUGAACACAAAAGAUGAACAAAAGAACACACAUGAACACAAGAGUUUUGCUUCCGCUCCCGUUCGCCGCCGCCGGGCCGUCGCCUUCCCUCCACCACCGCCCGCCGCCCCCCGGGGCCGUCGCCUUCCCUCUACCACCGCCCGCCGCCCCCGCCUCCCCUCCUGCCGGGCCGCCACUCCCGGCUAGAUCUGGCGGAGGGGAGGCGCCGCCGCCGCCCCCGCCUCCCCUCCUGCGGAGGGAGCCGCCGCCGGGAUGUCGCCUUCCCUCCCGCCGCCGCCACCACCGCCUCCACCGCCAGGCCGCCGCCGACGCGUGAGAAAGGCGAGGGGAGGGUGCGAGAGAGCCGAGGGGAGAAGAAGAGAAGAAAGAGAGGAGACGACGAGCCCCUGCCUGCGCUGUCGCUAGGGUUGCGCUCGCCUAGCGGUGGAGGAGAAGGAGGGAGCGCCGAGAGAAGGGGAGCAGCGGUGGAGAUGGAGAGCGAGAAGAGAAGGAAGAGAUAAGGAGAGAGAGAGCGGACACGUGUGGCUCUUAUCCAUCCAUACCGACUGAAUUGACGCGAGACGCAAUCAUGGUAGGGAAAAAAAAAUCAAAACUCGGUAUCCACGAAAUAAAUUGGCC
This 785-nucleotide long non-coding RNA is filed under the name Oryza sativa (Asian cultivated rice). RNAcentral describes it as "long non-coding RNA (OSAT_LNC001628)". The record is from RNAcentral. Lineage: Eukaryota; Viridiplantae; Streptophyta; Magnoliopsida; Poales; Poaceae.